CGAACGCUGGCGGCAUGCCUAACACAUGCACGUCGCCCGAGACCUUCGGGUCUAGUGGCGCACGGGUGCGUAACGCGUGGGAACCUGCCCUUAGGUUCGGAAUAACUCCCCGAAAGGGGUGCUAAUACCGGAUAAUGUCUUCGGACCAAAGAUUUAUCGCCUUUGGAUGGGCCCGCGUUGGAUUAGCUAGUUGGUAGGGUAAAAGCCUACCAAGGCGACGAUCCAUAGCUGGUCUGAGAGGAUGAUCAGCCACACUGGGACUGAGACACGGCCCAGACUCCUACGGGAGGCAGCAGUGGGGAAUAUUGGACAAUGGGCGAAAGCCUGAUCCAGCAAUGCCGCGUGAGUGAUGAAGGCCUUAGGGUUGUAAAGCUCUUUUACCCGGGAUGAUAAUGACAGUACCGGGAGAAUAAGCACCGGCUAACUCCGUG
RNAcentral lists this ribosomal RNA (431 nucleotides) under uncultured bacterium. Its description in RNAcentral is "partial 16S ribosomal RNA". It matches the Rfam family "Bacterial small subunit ribosomal RNA", at positions 30 to 507 of the family's 1533-position model. The record is from RNAcentral.